RNAcentral lists this ribosomal RNA (420 nucleotides) under Scyllarus subarctus. Its description in RNAcentral is "partial 16S ribosomal RNA". It matches the Rfam family "Bacterial large subunit ribosomal RNA", at positions 1934 to 2561 of the family's 2925-position model. The record is from RNAcentral. Lineage: Eukaryota; Metazoa; Arthropoda; Malacostraca; Decapoda; Scyllaridae.
CGGUAUAUUGACCGUGCGAAGGUAGCAUAAUAAUUAGUCUUUUAAUUGAAGACUGGAAUGAAAGGUUGAACAAGAAGUUAGCUGUCUCUAAAUUAAAUUUUGAAUUUAACAUUUAAGUGAAAAGGCUUAAAUAUUUUAAAGGGACGAUAAGACCCUAUAAAUCUUUACACUUGAUUUUAUAGAGCAAAAUAUUAAAAUAAUUUUUGUUCAAUAAGUUUGGGUAUUUUGUUGGGGCGACAGGAGUAUAAAAUGUAACUGCUCUAAAAUGAUAGUUAGUUGAUAUUUAGUUAAGUGAUCCUUUAAUAAAGAUGUUAGUUUAAGUUACUUUAGGGAUAACAGCGUAAUUUUUUUUGAGAGUCCAUAUCGAAAAAAAAGUUUGCGACCUCGAUGUUGAAUUAAAGAUCCUUUACGGUGCAGAAG